CUUGGUAUAUAUGUACAUCAAACUUGCUAAAAACCAACAGCCUAGAGUAUUUCUGGUUCCCUAAUCAUGCAUGUCACUUGUUUGAUUUGCAUGCAAAAGGUAAGUAGGGUCCCUUGCUCCCAAAUCCAUCCCCACUUCAUUGGAGGCUUUUGUGUGUUUCACAAGGGAUGGCAUCAUUUUUUCUUUUUUUGACAUAAAUGAACAGUUUAAUUCCUUUUUUCUACUACAUUAAGCAACUUGAAUGAAAAAACAAGUAUAGCUUGGACUUAUUUAUUCUCACAUGCUACUUUCCUGUUCAAAUUUUAAAAAGGCGAGCAGCAAGUCUAUUAUUUGUCUGUAAACAGCAGAUCUGAUUAUGUAUGUAUCGUAUCACUCACCAGUCAUUUUGUUUCUUUCCUCAAAUUCGCUGGAAUGUGAUUGCUGUUUUUCACUGUGAUUAAAUUUUAGAAGUUGUGGUAAUUGUUAAUGUGUUGGACUUGUUUCUAUUUCACCUAACAAAAGGGGGCAAAUGAGAAACAAAAAAAGAAAGAGGCAAAGAAGGAACGAAUGAAAAGGAAAGAGCACAGAAGAAUGAGAAGGUAGCAUUGUUAUCUGCCAUUCAUCAUUCGUGGAAGAAAAGUUUCAACAAGUGAGCAUAUAUAUGUAUGUAAAUAGAUGACUGCCUCCCAUGGAGAAAUAAAAUGAUGGUAUGAAAACGUGAGAGGAAUAGUGAGUUCCAGUCUUUGUUGACAUCUCUUUGUGAUCCAUGUAUGGCUGCCAAAAGGGUAUUAUUCCUGAUGCUUGAAUAUUCUCUUGCUCGAGACAGUUAAACACUGGCUUGGCUUCCUUCUGGUUUAAUAAUUUUUAGAGAAGACGGUCAUCUUAAUCGAGGAGUAUUAAUGAAGCCGAUUUGGAUAAAGCUGGACAAGUGAUGAUCCGGAGGAGUUCUUGUGAAAAGGAAAAUAUUGAUCUGCUUCUGUUAAUUCUGGAGUGGCUAGGUUCGUUGCAUACAUAUCCAUCAGAUUUCAGAAUAAUGUAUUUUCAUUCUUGAGCUCACAGUAGUUGAUAAUUUUCAUGAAGAUUUUCUUCAUGACAUAGUUGUGUUGUGACAAUUGCAAAAUUAAAUUUAGCUCCUGCUUGUGAUUUUUCAAAUAUUUACCAAACCCAUGAACAAGUUAUUCUUUGGAGAAAAAGAAAAGAAAAGAAAAGAACAUUUGGACUCCAAGAUUUAAAAUUGAUUAUUUUUAUUUAGACAUGAGAAGUAC
RNAcentral lists this long non-coding RNA (1244 nucleotides) under Panax ginseng (ginseng). RNAcentral describes it as "long non-coding RNA (PGIN_LNC002315)". The record is from RNAcentral. Lineage: Eukaryota; Viridiplantae; Streptophyta; Magnoliopsida; Apiales; Araliaceae.